GACGAACGCUGGCGGCGUGCUUAACACAUGCAAGUCGAGCGGUAAGGCCCUUUCGGGGUACGACGAGCGGCGAACGGGUGAGUAACACGUGGGUGACCUGCCUUUAGCUCUGGGAUAAGCCUGGGAAACCGGGUCUAAUACCGGAUAUGACUCCGCGGCGCAUGUUGUGGGGUGGAAAGCCUUGUGGCGGCUGGAGAUGGGCCCGCGGCCUAUCAG
Molecule: ribosomal RNA, 216 nt
Filed under: uncultured bacterium
Lineage: Bacteria
Description: partial 16S ribosomal RNA
Rfam family: Bacterial small subunit ribosomal RNA
Source: RNAcentral